RNAcentral lists this ribosomal RNA (508 nucleotides) under uncultured bacterium. Its description in RNAcentral is "partial 16S ribosomal RNA". It matches the Rfam family "Bacterial small subunit ribosomal RNA", at positions 30 to 523 of the family's 1533-position model. The record is from RNAcentral.
AUUGAACGCUGGCGGCGUGCCUAACACAUGCAAGUCGAACGGCAGCAUAAGUGGAGCUUGCUCUACUUGAUGGCGAGUGGCGGACGGGUGAGUAAUAUGUAGGAAUCUACCUAGAGGAGCGGGAUAACUUAGGGAAACUUAAGCUAAUACCACAUAAUCCCCACGGGGGAAAGCAGGGGAUCUUCGGACCUUGCGCCUUAUGAUGAGCCUACAUCGGAUUAGCUAGUUGGUGGGGUAAAGGCCUACCAAGGCGACGAUCCGUAGCUGGUCUGAGAGGAUGACCAGCCACACUGGGACUGAGACACGGCCCAGACUCCUACGGGAGGCAGCAGUGGGGAAUAUUGGACAAUGGGCGAAAGCCUGAUUCAGCAAUGCCGCGUGUGUGAAGAAGGCCUUAGGGUUGUAAAGCACUUUCAGUGGGGAGGAAGUUGUAGGUGUUAAUGCCAUCUGCAAUUGACGUUACCCACAGAAGAAGCACCGGCUAACUCUGUGCCAGCCGCCGCGGUAA